GGUUCACGACGCAAGAUGCACACGAUGUAACAUUCAACAAACGCCGGUAGACAAUGUUCCAAACUAUACAACAUACAUUUUGACAAGUUCCAGUUUCGCUUCGCAAGCAGCCGGAAAUUGAACACCGGCUGUGUUUCCUGUAUCCACGGCGGCGAGCCAGAUUCCGCGAUGGUAGUUUUACCGCGCUUUCAAGACAAACCCUGAGACGAUGAAACGGAUUUACACGGUGAGGCAGACACGGUUCACGUCACCCUCAAGUGGCGGCCAUGAUAUUUUCAGUAGUUCAUCCGGUUCCUUCUUUGAAUUAAAUGUUUCAAAUUCUGAGUGUGCAUUGUGAUGUUAACUAUGAUAAAAUUAUCAUGUAAAAAGAAAAUAAGAAGAUCGUCCGAAUUGAAAAAUCCACCUCAUGCUGUAUCUAUAUCGAAUAUAUACACGUUGGAACAUCUUUGGAGGAUUCUAAAAACCAAGG
Long non-coding RNA from Apis laboriosa (Himalayan honeybee), 469 nucleotides. RefSeq lists it as uncharacterized. The transcript is spliced from 3 exons. The record is from RefSeq and is a predicted model, not a curated record. Lineage: Eukaryota; Metazoa; Arthropoda; Insecta; Hymenoptera; Apidae.